Molecule: unclassified non-coding RNA, 217 nt
Filed under: uncultured fungus
Lineage: Eukaryota; Fungi
Description: sequence contains ITS1, 5.8S rRNA gene
Rfam family: 5.8S ribosomal RNA (bases 169-217)
Source: RNAcentral
UCUCCGUUGGUGAACCAGCGGAGGGAUCAUUAUAGAGUUUUCUAAACUCCCAACCCAUGUGAACUUACCAUUGUUGCCUCGGGGGCGACCCGGCCUUCGGGCGUCGGGGCCCCCGGUGGACCUAUCAACUCUGCAUCUUUGCGUCUGAGUAAAUAUUGAAUCAAUCAAAACUUUCAACAACGGAUCUCUUGGUUCUGGCAUCGAUGAAGAACGCAGC